Molecule: ribosomal RNA, 479 nt
Filed under: Vagococcus fluvialis
Lineage: Bacteria; Bacillati; Bacillota; Bacilli; Lactobacillales; Enterococcaceae
Description: bacterial SSU rRNA
Rfam family: Bacterial small subunit ribosomal RNA
Source: RNAcentral
UCAAAGAGUGGCGGACGGGUGAGUAACACGUGGGCAACCUGCCCAACAGAGGGGGAUAACACUUGGAAACAGGUGCUAAUACCGCAUAAUUUGUUUUCCCGCAUGGGAGAAUAAUAAAAGACGCUUCGGUGUCACUGUUGGAUGGGCCCGCGCUGCAUUAGUUAGUUGGUGGGGUAAUGGCCUACCAAGACCGUGAUGCAUAGCCGACCUGAGAGGGUGAUCGGCCACACUGGGACUGAGACACGGCCCAGACUCCUACGGGAGGCAGCAGUAGGGAAUCUUCGGCAAUGGACGAAAGUCUGACCGAGCAACGCCGCGUGAGUGAAGAAGGUUUUCGGAUCGUAAAACUCUGUUGUUAGAGAAGAACAAGUGGGAGAGUAACUGUUCCCACCUUGACGGUAUCUAACCAGAAAGCCACGGCUAACUACGUGCCAGCAGCCGCGGUAAUACGUAGGUGGCAAGCGUUGUCCGGAUUUAUU